Bubalus bubalis (water buffalo) is the source of this 1418-nucleotide long non-coding RNA. RefSeq lists it as uncharacterized. The record is from RefSeq and is a predicted model, not a curated record. NCBI's taxonomy places the organism in Eukaryota, Metazoa, Chordata, Mammalia, Artiodactyla, Bovidae. The transcript has 3 exons.
UCAGACAGCACUAGGUUCUCAUCUAGAGGCUAAACUUGUGCAAGGUCUGCUUUUAAGCUCACUUAGGGUGAAUGAGUGGCAAAAUUUACAUCUUGCUAUUGUGGGACUAAGGUACUUGCUUUCUAGCUGGCUACUGGCUGGAGGCUGCCCUCAGCUCCUAAAGGCCACCCACAGUUCCCUGUGAAGUGGGCUUCCCCAAGAUGCCACUUAGUCAUCAAGCCAGCCAGAAGAAUCUCUAGAGCAAGUCUUACAGCAAGGCAAGUCUUAUAUAACAUAAUGAAUACACAGGAGUGACAGCCCAUAAAUUUUGUCAUAGUCUAUUGGCUAGAAGCAAGUCACAGGUCCCACCCACACUCAAAGAGAGGGGCCACCCAGGGGCAUGAGCACAAGGAAGUGGGGACCAUGAGAGGUUACCUUAGCAUCUGUUUGCCAUAGACAACAUGAGUAGCCAGACCUGGGUCAUAUACCCACUCAGUUACCAGAAGAAGGGGGAUGGGAAAGCUUUCUGGGCUCUUUCAGUUCACAUGAAUAUGAAAGAGAUUCUGAAAAUGGAAUUGCUGAGAUUUGGCAACCAUUGAGUAUGGCACAAUGCUGCAGGAAAUGGAAGAGAGACAAGUGACUCAGGACUUGAGAGCCAGUGACUGGAAAGAGGGAUGGUGCUAUGACUGAAUCUGGGGACUCAGAACAAGAGAGAAGGAAGAUAAAGAGAUUCAUCUGGAGUUCCCAUAGGAUGUCCACAUGGAAUUGUAUAUCCAGAGCUCAGGACAGAUGUCUGAGACUCAGAUUUCGAUAUCAUCAACCUAGAAGACGAGGACAUGUACAUAUAUGGGAAUGGAUGGGUCACAAACCAGGAAUUCUCCCCAAUAAAUCUCCUGCGUGUCUAAUUUUAUCCUGGCAUCUGUUCUCAGAAGAUCCAAGCUAACACAGGGUUUGAAAGCAUUUGAUAGAGAAGUUAUCUCCACGCACGGACACCAGUACCGCAAGACUCCGCUAAGCCACAUGCAAAGCUGAUGACAUCAUGCCCUGGUAAAUAGCUUUCAGAAGAGCCACAUCUCACUGGGCUUAAGGAGUAAAUUCCUAAGACCAGCACUGCAGGCCCUCUGUGAACCUCGCUUCACUUCUUGCGACAGUCUCUGUAGCCACGCUCCACUUGGACUCAAACAAGCUCUCCGGAGCACAGUGCUUCCUCCUGCCUCUGGGUCUUUGCAAAUGCUGUCCCUCCUGGAAGAAAUGUCUUAACUCUAAGAAAUCCCCAAGAUACAGUUCAUGUGCCUCCUUGCCCAAAAAGCUCUUCCGGAAACCACUCUCAGAUCAGAUCAGAUCAGAUCAGUCGCUCAGUCGUGUCCGACUCUUUGCGACCCCAUGAAUCGCAGCACGCCAGGCCUCCCUGUCCAUCACCAACUCCCGGAGUUCACUCA